This is a non-coding RNA of Phrynosoma platyrhinos (Desert horned lizard), 72 nucleotides long. The record is from the annotation of a GenBank genome assembly. NCBI's taxonomy places the organism in Eukaryota, Metazoa, Chordata, Lepidosauria, Squamata, Phrynosomatidae.
GCCAGGGGAGUGUAGUGGUUUGAACAUUGGACUAUGACUCUGGAGACCAUGGGUUGAAUCCCAGCUCAGCCA